This 73-nucleotide transfer RNA is filed under the name Camelus bactrianus (Bactrian camel). It matches the Rfam family "tRNA". Rfam says of the family: Transfer RNA (tRNA) molecules are approximately 80 nucleotides in length. Their secondary structure includes four short double-helical elements and three loops (D, anti-codon, and T loops). RNAcentral also lists the same sequence under 1 other name. The record is from Rfam by way of RNAcentral. Lineage: Eukaryota; Metazoa; Chordata; Mammalia; Artiodactyla; Camelidae.
GAGGGUAUAGCUCAAGUAGUAGGACGCAUGCUUAGCAUGCAUGAGGUCCUGGGUUCAACCCCUGGUACCUCCU